CCUACGGGAGGCAGCAGUGGGGAAUAUUGCACAAUGGGCGAAAGCCUGAUGCAGCAACGCCGCGUGAAGGAAGACGGUUUUCGGAUUUUAAACUUCUGUUCUUAGUGCAGAAUAAUGACGGUAACUAAGGCUCAAGCCACGGCUCACUACGUGCCAGCAGCCGCGGUAAUACGUAGGUGGCAAGCGUUGUCCGGAAUUACUGGGUGUAAAGGGGUCGUAGGCGGGAAGCCAAGUCAGCUGUGAAAACGACGGGCUUAACCUGUAGAGUGCAGUUGAAACUGGCUUUCUGGAGUGAAGUAGAGGUUGGCGGAAUGCCGGGUGUAGCGGUGAAAUGCGUAGAUAUUCGGAGGAACACCGGUGGCGAAGGCGGCAAACUGGGGUUUAACUGACGCUGAGGCUCGAAAGUGUGGGGAGCAAACAGGAUGAGAUACCCCAGUAGUC
This 441-nucleotide ribosomal RNA is filed under the name uncultured bacterium. RNAcentral's name for it is "partial 16S ribosomal RNA". It matches the Rfam family "Bacterial small subunit ribosomal RNA", at positions 338 to 795 of the family's 1533-position model. The record is from RNAcentral.